This is a non-coding RNA of Jatropha curcas, 2385 nucleotides long. NCBI's taxonomy places the organism in Eukaryota, Viridiplantae, Streptophyta, Magnoliopsida, Malpighiales, Euphorbiaceae. The record is from RefSeq and is a predicted model, not a curated record.
CACUCUACUGACUUUGGCGGCACUCCGCGUAAACCGUGCUUUUUGGAUUUUCUCUUCUCUUUCCUUCAACUUUCUUUGCUCUGUUUCAAAAACAAAAGCAAAGCAAAUACAUUGAAAGGGAAGAAAGCAUCUUUACUCUCUUUGAUUUUUCGCUUUCGCUUGCGUUUGUCCUUCUCUUUAACCUCUCUACUGUACUAGACUCUCUGCAACUAACAAUUCACUCUUCUUCUUUUGUAUUUUUGCCCAAAACCCUAAUUCUUUUUUUAAAAGUAGAUGCUUGUUCUAGCGUUGCUGAGAUCGUUUUGAUUUUGAAGCUUCUCAUUUGGACAUCUGAAGAUUGUGCGAUUUGGUCUCAGAUCGGUUCUAAAGAACUUCUGCAAAAGUUGGGUGUAUACUGUUAGUUCUGAGGUGCCAUCAUCAAAUUUCUGUUUGGCUUUCUUUUCAAAUAUGGCUGGAGACUCCAAGGCGAGCCUUUCAAAUGGCACUGCUAAUAUACAGUCUGAUCCAAGAAGAACGUACCAAGUUGUUGUGGCUGCUACUAGGGACAUGGGUAUUGGAAAAGAAGGGAAGUUGCCAUGGAGAUUGCCUUCUGAUCUCAAAUUCUUCAAGGAUGUUACUCUGACUACUUCUGAUUCUGGAAGAAAGAAUGCAGUAAUAAUGGGUAGAAAAACAUGGGAAAGUAUUCCACUUGAGCAUCGUCCUCUUCCUGGUCGCCUUAAUGUUGUUCUGACUCGAUCUGGGAGUUUUGAUAUUGCUACUGCUGAGAAUGUAGUGAUAUGUGGAAGCUUAACUUCUGCUCUGGAAUUAUUGGCUGCAUCUCCUUACUGCCUAUCAAUUGAGAAAGUCUUUAUCAUUGGAGGUGGCCAAAUAUUAAGGGAAUCUCUCAACGCACCUGGGUGUGAUGCUAUCCACAUCACAGAAAUCGAGACAAGCAUUGAUUGUGAUACUUUUAUCCCUAAAAUUGAUUCUUCUGUCUUUCAACCUUGGUAUUCAUCCUUUCCCAUUGUAGAAAACAAUGUAAGAUAUUGCUUUGCAACUUAUGUACGAGUGAGGGUUUCUGCGGUUGAGUCCCAUGGUCAAGAUAAUGGUCUGAGCUCUGAUAAUAGUUACAUUAAGUUUGAGGUAAAGAAGUUCUCUUUCCUUCCAAAGAUGGUUUUUGAGAGACAUGAGGAGUUCUUGUACCUGAGACUUGUCCAAGACAUUAUCUCAGAUGGCAAUUUGAAGGAUGACAGAACCGGAACUGGUACUUUGUCCAAGUUUGGAUGCCAGAUGCGGUUCAAUUUGCGUAGAACUUUUCCGCUGCUGACAACAAAGAAAGUAUUCUGGAGAGGGGUUGUUGAAGAACUUCUGUGGUUCAUUAGUGGCUCAACAAAUUGCAAGGUCCUUCAGGAAAAGGGCAUUCAUAUAUGGGACGGCAAUGCAUCCAGAGAUUACCUUGAUGGUAUUGGGUUGAAGGACAGGGAGGAGGGUGACUUAGGACCUGUUUAUGGAUUCCAGUGGAGGCAUUUUGGUGCUAGGUAUACUGACAUGCAUGCUGACUAUACUGGCCAAGGAUUUGAUCAGUUGUUAGAUGUUAUUGACAAGAUUAAGAAUAAUCCAGAUGAUCGUCGAAUUAUUCUUUCAGCUUGGAAUCCUUCCGAUCUCAAAUUGAUGGCACUUCCUCCCUGCCACAUGUUUGCUCAAUUCUAUGUAGCCAACGGGGAGUUGUCUUGUCAAAUGUAUCAGCGAUCUGCUGACAUGGGUCUGGGUGUGCCAUUCAACAUUGCAUCUUAUGCGCUCUUGACAUGCAUUGUGUCUCAUGUUUGUGAUCUUGUUCCUGGUGAUUUUGUUCAUGUGCUUGGCGAUGCUCAUGUUUAUCGGACUCAUGUCAGGCCUCUCCAGGAGCAGCUUCAGAAACCGCCAAAGCCUUUUCCAAUUUUGAAGAUUAAUCCGGAGAAGAAAAACAUAGAUUCUUUUGUAGCAGCUGAUUUCAAACUCAUAGGUUAUGAUCCUCAUCAAAAAAUUGAAAUGAAAAUGGCAAUAUAGGGCUCCAUUAAAGUUUCAGACAACUCAGAUACUUGGUUUCUCCUGGGCAAUGUUUGCAUGUAGUUUUGAGGCAGGCACAGCAAUGGGAGGCUUUAACUUGCUACACUGUUAACAAGUAAAAAUAAAAAAAUUGGUAAUUGGAUAUACUUGAACCUUUUCUUAUUUAGAGAGGAAUCCUUUAGUUCCAGACUUGGUGGGGUCUAAGGUGAUUUAGGAUGUCUGUAUUUUCUUGCUCUACGAGUUCAGUUUUCCUCUAUUACUUGGGAAUAUCUUUUUAUUGCUACAAAUGCUAAAAUCAUACAUUGCGUUUGGAAUGGAUUGGUUAUGGACUUAAUGAACUUUCAUGGUUUUCUUUUUUUC